RNAcentral lists this long non-coding RNA (200 nucleotides) under Elaeis guineensis (African oil palm). Its description in RNAcentral is "long non-coding RNA (EGUI_LNC044667)". Lineage: Eukaryota; Viridiplantae; Streptophyta; Magnoliopsida; Arecales; Arecaceae. The record is from RNAcentral.
GGCACAGUCUCACAUUGACGCCAUGGAGGUAACCUUGGGCGAAGCCAAGAUCUUGGUGGAAGAGGCUAAAGGAUCCCUUAAAAUUAGGGCCACCCAGCUCCAAGAGAGUGAAAUUAAGGCUGCAUACAUGCAGGACCAGUUGGUGAGAACUGAGAGAACUGUGCACCAAGUUAGAGAAGAGGUGACUCAGGCAAGGGAGG